Molecule: ribosomal RNA, 429 nt
Filed under: Bacteroidota bacterium
Lineage: Bacteria; Pseudomonadati; Bacteroidota
Description: Bacteroidetes bacterium partial 16S ribosomal RNA
Rfam family: Bacterial small subunit ribosomal RNA
Source: RNAcentral
UAGGGAAUCUUUGGCAAUGGGGGGAACCCUGACCGAGCAACGCCGCGUGAGUGAAGAAGGUUUUCGGAUCGUAAAGCUCUGUUGUUAAGGAAGAACGAGUGUGAGAAUGGAAAGUUCAUACUGUGACGGUACUUAACCAGAAAGGGACGGCUAACUACGUGCCAGCAGCCGCGGUAAUACGUAGGUCCCGAGCGUUGUCCGGAUUUAUUGGGCGUAAAGCGAGCGCAGGCGGUUAGAUAAGUCUGAAGUUAAAGGCAGUGGCUCAACCAUUGUAGGCUUUGGAAACUGUUUAACUUGAGUGCAGAAGGGGGGAGUGGAAUUCCAUGUGUAGCGGUGAAAUGCGUAGAUAUAUGGAGGAACACCGGUGGCGAAAGCGGCUCUCUGGUCUGUAACUGACGCUGAGGCUCGAAAGCGUGGGGAGCGAACAGG